GUGGGUAUAGCUCAGUGGUAGAGCACAUGCUUAGCAUGCACAAGGUCCUGGGUUCAAUCCCCAGUACCUCUG
RNAcentral lists this transfer RNA (72 nucleotides) under Camelus bactrianus (Bactrian camel). It matches the Rfam family "tRNA". From Rfam's summary of the family: Transfer RNA (tRNA) molecules are approximately 80 nucleotides in length. Their secondary structure includes four short double-helical elements and three loops (D, anti-codon, and T loops). Further hydrogen bonds mediate the characteristic L-shaped molecular structure. tRNAs have two regions of fundamental functional importance: the anti-codon, which is responsible for specific mRNA codon recognition, and the 3' end, to which the tRNAs corresponding amino acid is attached (by aminoacyl-tRNA synthetases). tRNAs cope with the degeneracy of the genetic code in two manners: having more than one tRNA (with a specific anti-codon) for a particular amino acid; and 'wobble' base-pairing, i.e. permitting non-standard base-pairing at the 3rd anti-codon position. RNAcentral also lists the same sequence under 2 other names. Lineage: Eukaryota; Metazoa; Chordata; Mammalia; Artiodactyla; Camelidae. The record is from Rfam by way of RNAcentral.